UGUAUAUAGAGUGCUUAAGUUUCUUCUACCAAGCAGAGCUGAAGUUAGCAUUAAAAGAGGGGGAAAACCAUGGUUUUAAUCUUUGUGUUCCUAAGAUUUCUAACUGUUCUUUAACUGACCUGUGAAGUAAAUGGAACUCUUGGGCUUCGUGUUAUGGCUUCAGCUGAUGUCAGCCCUGUCUGUUGUUGUCGUGUGGUCAUAGGAGAUGGCUCAGCUAAUACUGAGAGCAAAGCAUACCUGAUGCUAAGAAGUUAAGGAUGCCAAGAAUGGGAUCUGUAUUUGCCACUAUAUUGGCAAGGAAUUGUAAUAAUGAACAAAAUAGAAUUAAAAAGGUACUAUUCCUAGUAAUCUCCUUGUGAGUUGACAUCUUAACACAGGCUUCCCUUUCCUCUUUCCCUCCUUAGCACCCUUCUGUGAGCAAAAUAAAGCUUAUUUGAUACUCUUUUAAGUAAAUAGACUAUGGGUUGUAAGUACUUGGUCAAUAUGUACAGGUGGAUCAAAAAGUGUUUGCUUUAACUUAAUAAUUAAAGACUCAUUUAUUUUUGAUAACUUUAACUCUGGACUGGAGCAAAAAGCAAGAACUGUUUGCAUUACACCUGGGACAUAAAAUUAAUUUGUGCUUUGCUGUCAUGGAAGAAAUUGAGUUAUAUGAGAAUAUAUUUUCUGUCUUUUUAAAUUUCUUUUCCCUGCUCCAAACUGUGUGUUUUGUGUUCAUUCUGUUUUGUCUAUUUGAAAUCCUGCCUGAUUUUUAGUUUUCCUUUAACUGAUACUGGUACAGAAAGGAAGCGUACAAGAUAAGUAACCAAUGAAGCUUUGUCUGGUGGAGUUAGAGAUAAGCAAGUUUAUUAAUUCUGGCUAGCUGCUCCAAGUUGUACAUGUGAAUUUCACGCGCUUUCUUGUCUAUAUGAUAGUAAAAUCUGAGGGUUAUGGGACUACUCUGCUACAGUGUGUUACAUAUUUCACUUUGAUACAGGCAGGGAUGUCUCUAACUGUUUAGUAUGUAAGUUUAACUGACAGUGUGAAAUGCCUCGAAUCCAUAGAUCAGUUGUGGUUUCUAGUAUUGUGACUGUAUUCUUCAGUUUUUCCUCUGGACUGCUUAAUCACUUUAUACUGCUGGUCAACCUGAAAAUACCCCUGCAAAUUAAACUUAUUGUAAAGUUUCUUCUUGUAUAGUAAAGAAUAAAAACCAGGUUUUGGACAAAGGUGGAUGAAGAGCGCUGAUGUACUGACAGUGUUCAGUGCAGUUGCAGUUGGUUCUGCUUUGUGUGGUGUCUUGCAGCUGUGGCUUGAGUUUCUGAAGUUCAGACCGUGUCCUGUUAGCAAAAUAAGAUCUUGGUGUUACAUAUUACCUUAGGUUCUGUGUCUGGGCAGCACAGCCCUGCAGUUCCAUGGCACUGCAGAAGGUUUGGUGCAGCCAGAGAUAUCGCUGUGCAAGUAAACAAGAUGUCCUCAUGAAUGACCCCUUCAUCUUGGAUCAGAAUUAGUGUGGUGAGGGGUUUGCUUACAGAGUUCUUAGGUGCUACUCUCAUGUCACCUACGUGACAGAGGUGACUCCAGCACUGCACACACAGUGUGACAUGCUCUGUCACACUUUUGUGUGUUGUGUGCAUGGGCAUUACUCAGUGGUUGUGGCUUGCGUAAGAAGUCUCCACGCUCUCUAGCUACUAUCCUUAACUGACCUAGUUUUCCUACUGUUUGCACAGCAGCGCUGGAAGGAAAUGGAGUACAGACAAGGCUCUGGGAGGCUGAGAGAGCCUUGAGUGUUAUGCAUAUCAGCUCACCACUAAAUCAAGAGCCUCUAAAAUUCAAGUCUCAUCAGUGAGGAAAAUAAUAAUUUAUGAAUUACACAGAAGUGUGAAGAUCUAUUGCCGUAUUCCAAACAGUAGUGUAGAUGUUUCUGGGAGUCUGCCAAACUGGCGUUACUCAAAGAGAUGGUUUCCCUGUAGUGCUCCUGUCUCAUGUUGCCUGUUAGUUCAGUUUUGGCCAGUAGCUCAAUGUAAUGCUGCACUCCCACAGCAGUCAGCAGCCUCAGUGGUGUUGUCUUUGUAGUAAUUGCGAUGUCUUUGAAAAGCUCAGUUAAGUUUAAUUAGUAAAUCUGAAGUUGAGAAACUGAGAAUGUAAAAAUCUUACUUAAAGAUGUGGAGCUUAAUGCAGAAGGGAGACAAAUGAGAACACUUGGGAUAUCUCCUUCAGAUUGAAGCUAUCUGGAGAGGGCAUUUUUUGAGGGUUUUGACAUAAGUCUUGGGUCUAGACAGGGUGCUGUUGUUCGUUACAAAAUUUUCCUUGGAAACUUGGAGUUGUCUUGAGAAAAAUCGGAGUCCAAAUGUGACAUCAGGAAGGAAUUCUAGCAUGUCUUCCUAUGUGCAGAGAGUUGCCUGUGAAGUGGUUCUUCUAUGGAACAGAGUAAGAUGGUUUCAGGAGGUGAGACCGUAAGGUUUGUUGGUAAAGAUGCCUUUUCUGGAAAGGGACAUGUAUGCAGGAGCACUGUUCUUAUUCACAGGGUUAAAAGCAUGAAGAGUCAUGUACUGAAUCAGAGAGAUCUCAAACUUGGUACACAGAAUGUGCAGCUGGAUGAAAGUAAGAGUUAAGGCAGGAAACAGAAAGAUCAAUUUGCACUGGAAGUAGCAUCUACCUCCUUUGGCUGUUCAUGGGAUUGGAGGCUCCAAGUGCCAGUGUCUCUUCAAAGAGAAAAGACUUAGGGAUCCUUAGCUCUGAACUCCUUAAAGGAGCGAGGGAAAACAAUCCCACAGUUGAGGAAGAGCUGUUAAGUCUUGCCAUUUCAGAUGCUCAGGAACUGAAAUAUACGUAUUGGGAGAUGAAGGGAAUAACACAAAAAGCAUAGUUGUCUUUUGGUACAUAUUUGAGCUGUUCUAUAUGUGAGACACCACAUGGAAAAGUUUGCCUGUCAGCAGUACUAUUUCUAGACAAUUCCAACAGUUGACAAGUCCAGGGUGAGAGAGAGAUUCAGCCAUAAAUUAUGUAUCUUGGAGCUGAAGGUGUUUGUUGUGGUGUAGAAGAUGAAUUAGCCUCAUCCUUUAUAGCCUUUGCAUCUGCAGGACUCGCUCUUUUUGGAGGGAGGUUGUUUGUGCUCUUGAACUUUAAUUGCUGCAAUGCUGGGUUCCUUUCUCUGUUGCAUGUGAUGUGCACACUUGUGCUGCUUCUGCCAUGUAGAACAGCUCUGCUGUGUCUGCUUGUGGGUGUUCUUACUGGCUAAUUCCUAGCCUUAUUUUCCUGCCCUCUGAUUCUUGAAGCAUGGAGUUAAACAGCUGACAAUAAUCCUGUUUGGCAGAGCAUUGAUCAUUUUGUGUUCAUAAUUUCUCAUAUUCUAUCAAGUGUUUCUUCCCUGCCAUGACUGCCAUUCCCUAUGUGUGUGUUAUAUAUGAACUGCCUGGUGGUUAAAUCUGCAGUACAGUUUGAGUGCUCUGAAUGAUCUCUCGAUGCAGUUCCCUAAAUACAGUUCAGAAAAGCAUUUCUGUGGUUAAAGGUAGUGUUUGAAUAGCAGGACAUUUUUUUAUUUGCAUAUUUAGCCAGCAAAUAGCUGAGUGGUUCUUCUGUGUAUUCACUUGCAGUCUUCUAAAGAUGCCCUAGAAGAUUAGAAGUGUUGAGACUUGAUGAAUCAAGUAUUAAAAACAGUCUGUUUUGGGGAAACUUGUGCAAUGCUCAGUAUGAAGAGGCAAUUUCCCAGUAGGCAGCAGAGUUAGCGGGAGGCCCCUCUAAACACAAACAUUAUGUGUUCCUUUUUAAAAUAAAAAAGGAGCAAAGAGCUUUGCACCUUUUUGCAGCACCUUAUGCUGCUCUAGAGGGAAGCGUUCUAGACUUGAAACAGUAAGAUAGGUAACGAUUUCUGUGUUCUGAUGGUAGUAUAUGCUGUCAUUUUCUAAGGCACUUUGUGAAUAGGUUGUGUUUAUACAAAGUGGACUAGAAACUAAUUGAUAGCUCAGGACUCAAAGAUCUUAUUUAUUUAUUUUAGAUAUUUGCUUGUAUUUGUUGCUACAGUCGAUCUGAACAGAGUAGCUUGCACAGCCCUGAAGGUCCAGUCCAGAGUACUUGUGUCAGGUUGCCGAAGGCUUGAAUUCAAGUAAAUAUCUAAGUGCUGAUACGCAGUGACUGUGUAUACACAAGGAUUUGCUGUGGAAUAUUUACAUGGACGUUGAAAUAUUUACUUGGAUGUUGAAGCUAUUUUGAAAUGCUGGGAAACCUCUGAGCAUUACCUGUCUUCAUUAUGGAGCUGUCGGCAUCUCAAGUAAAUGAUGGGUUGUGGUCUCUUGAUGUGCCAUGUUUUCUGGCUGAAUGCAGGUCACUCUGUCCUAUUUUCCUGUCUGAACAAACAGAGAAUAUUAAUUAAUGUUUUAAUAUUUUGAAAUGGGUCUUGUCUUGUAAUGUGUAGUAUUUCUAAAUCUUUAUAAGAAGUUGUAACUUCAGAGCAACUUGCAAAUUCCGUCUCUUCUGAAUGCUUCUAGACUUGUUAUGGAUGAGGAAUGUCAACUAUCUCACCAAAAUUGUACAACCGAAGUGUAAGGUUGGAAGGAAACACUAUUCAAACCUUAAUUUCAACUACAGUUUCUAAUUAGUUUUUGCCAAUUACUUGUUUUGUUUAAAUGGCUUCUUUAUUUUUAAUUCAGUACAGCAUGGUGACUCUGUCACACAGCGAAAUGCUCAGCAUUAACAUGUCUGUUUAAUUUAUGGGUGAUUAAGCACUUUGCAAUCAGUGUAACAAUGAUAAAGACAAAUGUCUUCUGGCGUGUGUAGCAGAGGAACUGCAUUUGGGUUAUAAGUCUGCUGGCAGAGCAUAAAGAGAUAUUAAUGGACCGGAUCUGUAGGAGAGUAGUCAAAUAUCACAAUGUUUCUAUUGCAAUGUAAUGUGCACGUUUACAGAUAAGUGAGAUAUUAAUAAAAUCUGCUUCUGUUACAUGGGGAGGUGGCAGAGAGGAAGAGAGAACACCAGCAAUACCUGUAUGCUCCCCUGAAAUGGAGUUAACUCUGUGAGAAAAAUGCUAUUUUUAAUUCCAUAGCUGGAACCUGUGGAAAAAGAACUCAAUUUUUCAUCCAGAUAAAGAAAUGUGGAUAAUACGGGUGAGACCAGGCAGCAAAUUAAAUCAAGCAUAGCAGAGCGUUAUGGCAGCAGAACAUUAAGUCUGAGAAAUGCACGUUAAGCUCUCCAGCAGCUGAGAGACAGGUCAGGCCUGGCUUUGAUCUGGGGGGUUCAGGUUGGCAUCAGUCUUGAUCUUGAGGAGAGUUGUAUGUUCUUGGGGAGAGUCCAGAUGAGAUGAACAGCAGUCAUUGUUUAAGGGGAUUGGUAUUUGAGGGAAGAUGGAGGUAUUAAUUUUUUGGCAACUGUGUUGGUGCACUUUGUAAUUUUUAAAUGAUUCAUUUGGCUCUGUUCUUAAUGCCUUCAAUUUUAGAUGCCUUUUUUUUUUUGUUCAGUUGAUCUGUUUUGUGGUCUUUGACAGCUGCUUCUUAAAGCUUCUUUCCUCGAAUUCUUUCCUAAGAUUCUUGCAAAACCACUUGUGUAUAUACGUAUUUUUUUAAGACUUUUCACCUCUUUAAGGCUACAUAUUGUUACAGAGCUGUGGGGAUUUAAUGUCAUGAGUAGAAAUACGGAAAGUCAUGAUGAGCGUAUAACCAUGUAUAAAAUACUUUUCUCUGUGAGUCAUUUGGAUAAGGCUGUUAAUGGGAUUUCUAACUCCUUAAUGGCACACUUAUUCAAUAAAGGUUGAAUAAAUAUACA
This is a long non-coding RNA of Strigops habroptila (Kakapo), 5728 nucleotides long. RefSeq lists it as uncharacterized. The transcript has 2 exons. NCBI's taxonomy places the organism in Eukaryota, Metazoa, Chordata, Aves, Psittaciformes, Psittacidae. The record is from RefSeq and is a predicted model, not a curated record.